UUCGUGGGUGUCUUCAGAUAAAAACACUCUCCCUCCUCCCAGGCAGGAGCUGUUUCCAAACAAACUUUGAUAUUUAACUUUCAGUGGCUUUCCGGAUACUAGCAUCUGAGUGUCAUGAGAUAACACUAAGAACACAUUACAAGAUCGGAGACAAGGACUCUGCUGUGAAUUCACCUGUGCCCGAACACCGCCUAUCAGAUGACUCACUUCGAAAACCGCAGAACAGCUAGCACAAAGUGUUCCACUCCUCUCCCUAGCAACCCUCGAAGCCUGUUGUAGAUACUACCGCUGCGCGUCGGGUGGUGGUGGUGGGGGGGCUGCGGUGCUAUGGCGCAUGCGCCGUAGCCAGGGACCGCACGUGUGUUGUGUGGGGGUGCCCUCCAGUGCGCAGGCGCAGAUCCCAGCGGGCGGUGAGGUUUUCUGGCUCUGAGCAGCUCCUGGUUUUCUUGGGUAGAGGGUACAGUUUUGUUUCCUCCUUUGGCUUCCUCGUGUCCUAAGUUCUGUUGCGAGAUUCUCUUCUUCCUGUGCUCCCAGUUUGGGUCUCGUCUGGCAGAAGGUUUCCAGGAAUUUGACAAAUCAUCCCUGAGCGUUGUACACACCUGUUAAUCUAUUUCCAAUCUCGGGCCAGUCCAUGCAAAUCCAAUGAAUUGAGAAGCCGAGUAGGAAUUCCAUUUACCUGGUGUCAGUUUCCAAAAGUAAAAGACCUUUGGAACUUAACUCUAUAAAGAAUCGCGUCUCUCAUGGUCCCCAGUGCCUGCCAUAUGGUAAGACCUCUACUCAGAACAAAGAAUCCGGCCUGUCCUCCCUCUGGAGAUGGCGUGCAUUCUUCCUUGAAUAUGUGCCUACUUUUCUAAAGAAGCCUCUGCCUCUGAGGGGAAAAAGAAAUCCACCUUUUUGGUCUUGUCAAAGAUAAAGCCACUACUUAAAGUGAAGACAGGUUUUAAUUGGUAGUAUGCUGUUAUAAUAGGGAGGAUUCCAGCAUGAACUGAACUGAACUUCAGGUUGAACCGAGGUGAUAGUAAAGGAAUAGGGGAAUGGAGUGGUAGUGAAGGAAUGGGAACUGGGAGGUUCAGCAUUGGGGCAAUGAAAAGUUACAAAAUAAGAAGGAAGGGGUUGGUCCGUGUGCAAUCCAUCUAGGUUCACUGUUAAAUGGAGAUUAAGGAAGUUUGGCUCCCAUCUUCCCAGAGAGGCUGAGAGACAGGGACACAAUCUCAGGUGGUGGCUGGAAUAAAUAAUAAACUCUUUUGACAGCCUUGAGAUUUCUCAGGCGGAUGUUUUAAGCAGGUCCUGGGUGUUAUAGUUUGGCUCUGGAAUUCUCCCAAAGACUAAUGUGUUGAAGGCUUGGUCUCCAAUUUAGCUUUGCUCAGAAGUGGGACUCUUGGGAAGUGAUUGGAUCAUGAUGGCUCUGAUCUCAUUUGGAUAAAUCCAUGGAUGGAUUAAUAAUCUGAUUGUAUUAUUCGGGUAGGGAUGGAAACUGUAGGAGGUGAGGACUCAUUGCAGGAAGUAGGUCACUGGGGCAUGCCCUGGAUGGUUAUAUCUUGUUCUUAGCCCCUUCCUCCUCCUCUCUGUUUCUAAGGUCUCUCCCUCUCUCCUUUUCAGAUGCUUGAGGUAAUGAUUUUUCCUUCACCAUGCCCUUCUGCCAUGAUGUUUUUGCCUUGGAACCAACUGACCAUGGACUGAAACCUCAAAACUCUGAGCCAAAAUGAAUCUUUCCUUCUGUAAGUUGAUUUUCUCAACUAAUUUUGUCACAGCAGUGGAACACCUACUAACACACUCGGUCAUCCUGGGGCUGUGGUACAGAGCUGUUAGAAAUUGCAUUAGUGUUUUGUUCAAAUCCCUGGAGGUUAGUUGAGAAAGGACUCAGAAGAACCUGGCUGGAAUUUGAUCAAGGAGAGACUCUUUGUCACUCUAUGUACUCACACAUUACUAUAUACAAAGGGCUGUAUUUUAAUUACCCUAGAGUUUGAAUUAUUGUAUUCGUUGGAGAAGAAUGGAGUUCCUGGAACAUCUUACUCAUACUCUUUAUUUAUUGUAUGUUUAUAGACACAUUUCAUAUGUCAUAAACAUGAAAAUCCAAUGCUAUUGGCCAAACUGUUUCAUGGUACCUUCCCAAUAAGCUUUUUUUUGUUGUUGUUGUUUGACAUUCAGAUUGAAGCAUAUUAUGUAGGAGGUAAUGUUCAAUUCCUCAAAUA
RNAcentral lists this long non-coding RNA (2192 nucleotides) under Marmota monax (woodchuck). Lineage: Eukaryota; Metazoa; Chordata; Mammalia; Rodentia; Sciuridae. The record is from RNAcentral.